UAACCUCUGAGCUAAGCGGGCCCACAUCACAGAAAUCUUAUAUGCAUAGUAAUUAACUAAACUACUGGAAUUGGA
Molecule: transfer RNA, 75 nt
Filed under: Solanum parcistrigosum
Lineage: Eukaryota; Viridiplantae; Streptophyta; Magnoliopsida; Solanales; Solanaceae
Description: partial tRNA-Thr
Source: RNAcentral